RNAcentral lists this ribosomal RNA (910 nucleotides) under Sanguinoderma sp. RNAcentral's name for it is "partial large subunit ribosomal RNA". It matches the Rfam family "Eukaryotic large subunit ribosomal RNA", at positions 51 to 951 of the family's 3401-position model. Lineage: Eukaryota; Fungi; Basidiomycota; Agaricomycetes; Polyporales; Polyporaceae. The record is from RNAcentral.
CAUCGGGAGAGACUAACAGGAUUCCCCUAGUAACUGCGAGUGAAGCGGGAAAAGCUCAAAUUUAAAAUCUGGCGGUCUUUGGCCGUCCGAGUUGUAGUCUGGAGAAGUGCUUUCCGCGCUGGACCGUGUAUAAGUCUCUUGGAACAGAGCGUCAUAGAGGGUGAGAAUCCCGUCUUUGACACGGACUACCAGUGCUUUGUGAUGCGCUCUCAAAGAGUCGAGUUGUUUGGGAAUGCAGCUCAAAAUGGGUGGUGAAUUCCAUCUAAAGCUAAAUAUUGGCGAGAGACCGAUAGCGAACAAGUACCGUGAGGGAAAGAUGAAAAGCACUUUGGAAAGAGAGUUAAACAGUACGUGAAAUUGCUGAAAGGGAAACGCUUGAAGUCAGUCGCGUUGUCUGGGACUCAGCCUUGCUUUUGCUUGGUGCACUUUCCGGAUGACGGGCCAGCAUCGAUUUUGACCGUCGGAAAAGGGCUAGGGUAAUGUGGCACCUCCGGGUGUGUUAUAGACUUUAGUCGCAUACGGCGGCCGGGAUCGAGGAACGCAGCGCGCCGUAAGGCAGGGGUUCGCCCACUUUCGCGCUUAGGAUGCUGGCGUAAUGGCUUUAAACGACCCGUCUUGAAACACGGACCAAGGAGUCUAACAUACCUGCGAGUGUUUGGGUGGAAAACCCGAGCGCGUAAUGAAAGUGAAAGUUGAGACCUCUGUCGUGGAGGGCAUCGACGCCCGGACCUGACGUUCUCUGACGGAUCCGCGGUAGAGCAUGUAUGUUGGGACCCGAAAGAUGGUGAACUAUGCCUGAAUAGGGUGAAGCCAGAGGAAACUCUGGUGGAGGCUCGUAGCGAUUCUGACGUGCAAAUCGAUCGUCAAAUUUGGGUAUAGGGGCGAAAGACUAAUCGAACCAUGUAUGCAC